RNAcentral lists this transfer RNA (89 nucleotides) under Neorhizobium sp. NCHU2750. Its description in RNAcentral is "tRNA-Ser". It matches the Rfam family "tRNA". From Rfam's summary of the family: Transfer RNA (tRNA) molecules are approximately 80 nucleotides in length. The record is from RNAcentral. Lineage: Bacteria; Pseudomonadati; Pseudomonadota; Alphaproteobacteria; Hyphomicrobiales; Rhizobiaceae.
GGACAGGUGGCCGAGUGGUUUAAGGCGCACGCCUGGAACGCGUGUGUACGUGAAAGCGUACCGUGGGUUCGAAUCCACCUUGUCCGCCA